RNAcentral lists this ribosomal RNA (429 nucleotides) under Actinomycetes bacterium. RNAcentral describes it as "Actinobacteria bacterium partial 16S ribosomal RNA". It matches the Rfam family "Bacterial small subunit ribosomal RNA", at positions 355 to 776 of the family's 1533-position model. Lineage: Bacteria; Bacillati; Actinomycetota; Actinomycetes. The record is from RNAcentral.
UAGGGAAUCUUCCGCAAUGGGCGAAAGCCUGACGGAGCAACGCCGCGUGAGUGAUGAAGGUCUUCGGAUCGUAAAACUCUGUUAUUAGGGAAGAACAAAUGUGUAAGUAACUAUGCACGUCUUGACGGUACCUAAUCAGAAAGCCACGGCUAACUACGUGCCAGCAGCCGCGGUAAUACGUAGGUGGCAAGCGUUAUCCGGAAUUAUUGGGCGUAAAGCGCGCGUAGGCGGUUUUUUAAGUCUGAUGUGAAAGCCCACGGCUCAACCGUGGAGGGUCAUUGGAAACUGGAAAACUUGAGUGCAGAAGAGGAAAGUGGAAUUCCAUGUGAAGCGGUGAAAUGCGCAGAGAUAUGGAGGAACACCAGUGGCGAAGGCGAAUUUCUGGUCUGUAACUGACGCUGAUGUGCGAAAGCGUGGGGAUCAAACAGG